ACUAUUAUAACAUGAAAGAAGCUGAACCACAAAAAAUUAAAUAUAUUUUCUUAAAAAUUCAUAUUGAACAUCAAUUUUAUCCACUCAGACAUCUAUUUAUGUUUCAUAAGUUUGUGGCAAGAUAGGAAUGAUGGAGAAAUUCUUUCAACAUUUCCCUUCACCAAAAUUGAACCUGACAAAACAUAAAACAUAUGUCAACAGUCAUACUUAUAUGAGAAAAAUCAAAUUGAUGUUAGCUAUAUUUGGAAUUCAGAAUUUGAAAUAAUAAAAACUAUUUUUGUUAAAUUUGUUCCUUGAUGAAAUUUCUUGUUAUUUAUUAUUGAGAAAUGGUAUGAAAAAGGAGGAUAGUGGACCUCACUUAAUUUCAACCUUGUUGAAAUCUUUUUCGUUGUCCAGUUAACUUUGUUAAGACUCUUUCUUCAUAAAAAUAGUUUCUACCCAUUUGAUAUACCAACUGAGAUUGCAAAAUUGACAAAUUUAGACUUAUUUCUACAAUUGUUUCAAUAAUUGCAAAUUUAUAUUUGUUUCUCCCAAAUGACUAUCUUUUUGAAGACACACUUGAAUCUUAGAUUAUAUAAUAACACCUUGAUAGAAAAGUCAGUUUUAAUGUCAUAUCCUUAAUUGUUUACUAAUGUAAUUUCACAUCUUCAAUGUCAAGAUGUGACCUCAUAUUCACUUAGGCCCUUAAACUAAGGCUUGUACCUAUCAGACCCCUUAAGUGCUAAAAUUGAUAUCAAUCUGACACAAAAUGCUGAUUUGGCAAGGAGAGUGUAACACACUCUCCUUGGACGCGUGAAUUGAAGAAAAAAAUAAUAACAUUUUACUUUUUUUUAAUUAAAAAAAAUUAUAUUUAAAUUAUUUUAUUAAUAUAAUUUUAAAUUAUCCUAAUUUCUUAAUUUUUUUUAAAAAAAGGAAACCCCCCCUCUUCAGCGUCUUCUUCACACAACACCCCUCCCCCCUUCUUCACACAACCCUCCUUACCCUUCAUUUCAAAGUCUUUCUUCACACCCCUCUUUUCAGCGUCUUCUUUACACAACCCCCUUCUCUCGUAUCGUCUUCUACACACACACCCUUCUCAUUGUCUUCACACCCUCCUUCAUUCUUGUCGUCAUCACACACUCCACCCCCCGUAACGUCAUCUUAUAUAUAUACACACAUAAAGAGAUUGGGAAUGAACAACCAAAGGAAUUUCAUCAGAUUAAAUUAAAAAAAAAGAACAUUGAAAAUCAAUAGAGCAAAUUGGAGAGGAUGUGAGAAAAAUUUCUUUCUAUUUUUACAAAAUCAGUUAAAGAAAUCUUCUUUUCAUUUAUUAAUGGAGUUGUUGAUUUAACAAUAAUUAUGUGUGUAUUGCUGACUCUGUGCGUAUGUGUGCAGACGACGGGGGGAGGGAUGUGUGAAGGAGACGACUCUGUGUGUGUUGCUGAUGUUGUUAAUGGAGUUGCUCUGUGUGUGUGUUGAUGAUGUUGUUAAUGAAGUUGCUCUGUGUGUGUGUUGCUGAUGUUGUUAAUGGAGUUGUUGUAUGUGUAUGUAUUGCUGAUGUUGUUAAUGGAGUUACUGUGUAUGUGUGUAUUAUUGAUGUUGUUAAUGAAAUUGAUGUGUGUGUGUGUAAAGACGAUGGGGGAGGGGUGGGGUGAAGAAGACGACUGGGUGGGUGCUGGGGUGUUUUUUUUCUUUUUUUUUUUUUAAUUGAGAUUAUUGUUAAAUAGAUAAGUAAAUAGAAAAAAAUAAAAAAAUCAGUAAUUCCACGUAUUAUUUUUUUUGUCACGUGUUUUUUCUAAUUGACAAAUUUUACCACGUCAGGCGAGUGUAUUACACAUACUUUAUACCUGUUGCUGAUUAGGCAAAAAAUGUUCAAUUGGAAUAAAAUUCGGGAGAUUUAGGGGUUUGAUAGGUACAUGCCUUAGUUUAGGGGUCUAAGUGAAUUUUCGGGAGAGGUCUAAGUGAAUUUUCGGGACAAGUUUGAGGUCCUAUCGAUGGGUUUCUAAUUGACUAAUUUUGCCACAUCAGGCGAGUGUAUUACACAUACUUUAUACCUAUUGCUGAUUAGGCAAAAAAUGUUCAAUUGAAAUAAAAUUCGGGAGAUUUAGGGGUUUGAUAGGUACAUGCCUUAGUUUAAGGGUCUAAGUGAAUUUUCGGGACAAGUUUGAGGUCCUAUCGAUGGGUUUGGCCUUUAUAUUAAUUUUAAAGGAAUUAUAGUUUAUUCCAAGAUAUUCAAAUGCUUAAUGAAAAGUAUUUUGCUUCCGAAUGCACCUAUUUUAAUAUGGAUAAGAUGAUAAAAAGAGCAACCUACAAAUUUCUGGCUUGGUUCUAUGCGCAACAGACAUUGAACACCACUGGUUAUUGUAUGGCAAACUUCAAAGGUUGUUUACCACUACUGAGAAUAGGACUCUCUCUCCAUGCAACCUUUACAAACUACUCCUGAUGAAUCUAUAUCACAUCUAUCUAAAAGCACACUUUCACGCUUCAAAUUAAGUGUCCGACCUCUCAUUUUCAUGUGACCAAACUUCCAAUGCAGCCCCCACCCCCACCCACUUAAACAAAAAAAGAAGAAGUUCAUGACAUGUUACUAAACUAUCCAAUACAGAAGAUAAAAAAGAAUUAUCACCUUUAAGAAGUGUGAAAACUUUUAUUUCCAAUUUGAACAUCUUUUUUUUGAGAUAGCUCAAAAGUUGGUCAUAUAAUAAGUUUCAAAGGAAUCACUAUCAAACUUCUGCCUUUAAAUCUUAUCAAAAGAUAAAACUUAUCACCUGAAACUAUGGACAAUUUAAGAGAUAGUUGUUUGCGUUCAAACACCAGCUAAAAACAAAAAACUAUCAAAUUUUAGUUAAAAUUAAUAUUUUUUUAAAUAGUGGCAUUUAAAUGAAAAAAGGGACCUAAAGUGUGAAAUGUUUAAUUAAGCUCCUGCCGAAGUUCUAUUAUAAUUCUACUAAUGGUUCUAUUAUCGAAAUUCCCCAUAAAUCUUAUAUUGCUCUUGCUCAGGAUGGAAACAUACUGUUAUUAUGUGUCCGAAGUAUCGGACCAAUGAUCCCCCAUGACUUCUUUAACGUGUCCUUAGGUAUCGUCCCAAACCAUAAAUUAUUUACUCAUGAAAGUUGACAGCAGCCGAAGAAUCGUUACCCGCUAGUAUGAAAGACCUAAAUGGACAGACUAAAGAAAAUCCUAAUCCUUAACAUGAUUGGUCCUACCAAGACCACGUGCAGCAACAUCAGUGGAAAUCAUUAUAGGACUUCUGCCACUUUUAAAAUCAGUCGGCACCCAAUCUCUCUCAUCCUGGCUUUUAUCACCAUGAAUGGAUAAAGUUGGCCAUCCAUCCAUUCUCAACUCUUUGAUCGAAUUAUAAUUUGGGGCACUCAUAGAAAACUAAUAAACUGUAAAAGAAUUAAAAGAAAAAAUUAUAAAUGAAUAAUUGAUGAUCAACCCAAAAGCCUUUUAAUCUGCAAGAGACAGAAGAGAAAAUAAAUAAAAUUGACGAAUAGGACUUAUUGAUUUUUGUCGAAAAUUCAUAUAUAUAUAUAUAUAUGACAGAAACUUAUUACAAUUGUCGAAAUAGACGAGCAAAGUAUAGAAUUCAAAAAGCAGCUUCAUUGGAUUUUCCCGACAAAAUCAGCAGAGUUUUAUGUUCCAAAUUUUACACAAGAGAAGCAAACUCAGUAGUAUUAUGCAAAAGCAUAGCAUAUACGUAUGGACCAAAUCAUCAUCAACACAUAUGAAACAUUUCGAUUCUACCUCUCAACUUAACAACAACAACAAAGCAAUGAUUUCUUCACUUGCUUCCCUUUUCUUCUCAAACCCUCGCCCUUUUUGCCCUCCUCUAAACCAAUUUCAAUUCCCAUCUCAUUUUUCCUCUUUGCACACUCAAUUUCUCAGCCAAAUCUACCCAACCCACUCCGUUGCCUCCUCAUCCUCCAAAGUCACGCGGAGAAGAAGUCAUUUGUUGUGGCAACGGGAUCGACACACAUAGAAGUAAGGAGAUUUUUUCUUUCCAAAACUUUGAACUACAAAUAGAGAAAUCUAAGGAAUUGCAUCCUUUCCAAAUCUCACGAGCAUUUUAUACUGCAUAUUAUCUUUGGCAACAACUUAUUGGCAUAGACCAUUAAUGGAGCACUUGGAUAAGAAGAAAAAAUCUAUCUAUACAAAGAAAAGGAAUAAAAUGAGUGUCUAAAUACUUGUAAAUACCUGGCAGAUACGUUUUCUGGAAAGCAAUUUCUCAAAUUUUCAUGGUGCACAACUCGUAUCUAUAGCCACUACUUUAGUCCAUAAAAAUCCCAUCAGAUUGACAUAAAACCCAUCUUCCUCUUCUGAUAUGAAAUCAAAUUUUGCUUUGCUAAAAAAGUAGAAAUUGGACCACAAAAUUAAUUUGUUAGGAAAAACCUAAUGAAUUUUCAGUGAUCGAAAAAGAAAUUGUGGAAAGAAAAUUCAUUUUUUUUGAAAAUCAAAGGAGUGUCUUGCUUAUGAACUAAAGCGACGUUUUUUUUUGUGAAAGAACGGUAGAGAGGUUUUCUCAUAGUAAAAU
This 4513-nucleotide long non-coding RNA is filed under the name Capsicum annuum. RNAcentral describes it as "long non-coding RNA (CANN_LNC022001)". Lineage: Eukaryota; Viridiplantae; Streptophyta; Magnoliopsida; Solanales; Solanaceae. The record is from RNAcentral.